AAUUUUGUCUCGCAUCCUAGAUAAAAAAAAACAUCACCCAGGUAGGCCAGUCAUGUGAGAAACUCGUCGUCAGACAAGGGAAAAUUGUGUGUCCAAAACGGCUUUCAAGCUGUCAGUCAUUCCCUUAGCAGCAAGAGCUUCUCGUGGAUGCUGCGGUGUACCCAAGUGGCGUCGGGAGCAACUGCUUGCAUGCGCUGUUGGGGAAUAAUCAGAAUUGGUUGGUAACAUAGAAUCGUUACACGAACUAUGGACUCAGCUGUGUCUAGACUCUCUGCAACUACCUCUACACAAGAGAUCUCCUAAAAGACUAAAAUAUUAUUCGAAAGUGUCUUCGUCGAGGACAACUGAAGACUGCUGUGCUACUUCCGAAGAGUGAUACAGUCCACCCGGUCCUGGGUUACCUCCAGACAAGUCCCCUGAAGCCUGUGUGUGUCGUAGAGCAAAACAACCGACACCUUCGUGUUCAUGAGAAUCUCUCCUUUCAAGUCUAUCCAGUGUGCAAAGCUGCCAUCAAGACAAAUUGCUACUUUGAAGAAUCUCAAAUGUAAAAUAUACUUUGAUUUGUUUGAUAUGUUCAUGCCAGUAAAUUUCAGCAAGUAGCAAUGUGAACGUGUUUGUGUGCAUUUGUGUGUUGCAGGGGAUUUGGAAUAAGACAGUGGAGACAGGAGACAGAGUAGGCUACGAUUAUAUAUUAAAUAUUUUUUUCUUACAUUUAGUUAUGUUUAGGGCUGUUGGUAGGCCUCAGUCUGGAAUGGCUCUUUGAUGUUGUUGACACAAUGCGUCAAUAAUGAAGGGGCCUGUGCUUUUACUGGUUGGCUCUCAUGUCUUUCUCACUCAAACACCCACAUGCAGAGCCACACUCAGAAGGGGUAGGCGCUCGGGAGCUAUUACAUUGGGGCUCCCAAGAGGCGCAGUGGACUAAGACACUGCAUCUCACUUUAAGAGGCACCACUGUAGUACCUGGUUUGAAUCCAGACUGUAUCACAUCCAGCCAUGAUUGGGAGUCCCAUAGAGUGGCACACAA
Molecule: non-coding RNA, 1024 nt
Organism: Oncorhynchus mykiss (rainbow trout)
Lineage: Eukaryota; Metazoa; Chordata; Actinopteri; Salmoniformes; Salmonidae
Source: RefSeq, a predicted model, not a curated record